Molecule: long non-coding RNA, 386 nt
Organism: Xiphophorus couchianus (Monterrey platyfish)
Lineage: Eukaryota; Metazoa; Chordata; Actinopteri; Cyprinodontiformes; Poeciliidae
Exons: 3
Source: RefSeq, a predicted model, not a curated record
AGAGGCUGAGCGAGUUUUGUUUCCUGUUUUCUAGGUCUACAGGAGCUGAUUUGAACUGUUUCAAUAUUCUCACCAGCCAACAUGUCAGGGAGGGAGCCACAGAGACCCCCAGGGAGGAGUUCUGGCAGUUUCCAAUGAAAAACAACAAAAUGGGGAUUCAUACAGACACCAGGCUGAUGGACUCAAAGACUCGGUGUGGAUUCUGCUGUUUACCAGGUCUGGCAGGAUGAAGCAUUACCAGCUGGACCGCCUCCACUCGGCCCUCCCCCCGCUGACAACUGGAGCCCACUGCCACAACUGGACCCCAUCACCGGGGCGGGCUGACAGCCAGCCUGCCAGAUGUGAGGCCCUCUCUGCACUGUCUAUAAUCCAAGCAGAAACUGAAA